RNAcentral lists this ribosomal RNA (418 nucleotides) under uncultured bacterium. RNAcentral describes it as "bacterial SSU rRNA". It matches the Rfam family "Bacterial small subunit ribosomal RNA", at positions 358 to 774 of the family's 1533-position model. The record is from RNAcentral.
GGAAUUUUCGGCAAUGGGCGCAAGCCUGACCGAGCAACGCCGCGUGAGUGAUGAAGGUUUUCGGAUCGUAAAGCUCUGUUGUAAGGGAAGAAUGGCACAGAUAGAAUCUGUGAAUGACGGUACCUUACCAGAAAGCCACGGCUAACUACGUGCCAGCAGCCGCGGUAAUACGUAGGUGGCGAGCGUUAUCCGGAAUUAUUGGGCGUAAAGGGUGCGUAGGCGGCCUGUUAAGUUUAAGGUGAAAGCGUGGGGCUCAACCCCAUAUAGCCUUAGAUACUGGCGGGCUAGAGUACUGGAGAGGAAAGUGGAAUUCCAUGUGUAGCGGUAAAAUGCGUAGAGAUAUGGAGGAACACCGGUGGCGAAGGCGGCUUUCUAGACAGUAACUGACGCUGAGGCACGAAAGCGUGGGGAGCAAAUA